GACGAACGCUGGCGGCGUGCUUAACACAUGCAAGUCGAACGGAAAGGCCUGCUUUCCCUUGUGGAUUGCGGGUACUCGAGUGGCGAACGGGUGAGUAACACGUGAGUGAUCUGCCCCCAACUUGGGUAUAAGCCUGGGAAACUGGGUCUAAUUCCCGAUAGGACUGCAGGGUGGUGCCUGUGGUGGAAAACGAUUUUCUAGUGGUUGGGGAUGAGCUCGCGGCCUUUCAGCUUGUUGGUGGGGUAAUGGCCUACCAAGGCGGGGACGGGUAGGCGGCCUGGGGGAGUGGGCCGCCACAGUGGAACUGCGAUACGGCCCAGAAUCCUACGCGAGGCAGCAGUGGGGAAUAAUGCACAGUGGGCGGAAGCCUGAUGCAGCGACGCCGCGUGGGGGAUGACGGCCUUCGGGUUGUAAACUCCUUUCGACCGCGAGGAAGCCACCUGGAUGGAAGGGUGGUGACGGUAGUGGUAGAAGAAGCACCGGCUAACUACGUG
Molecule: ribosomal RNA, 494 nt
Filed under: uncultured bacterium
Lineage: Bacteria
Description: partial 16S ribosomal RNA
Rfam family: Bacterial small subunit ribosomal RNA
Source: RNAcentral